UGGUUAAUGAGAGCAAACGCUGUGGGCCUU
Molecule: non-coding RNA, 30 nt
Filed under: Homo sapiens (human)
Lineage: Eukaryota; Metazoa; Chordata; Mammalia; Primates; Hominidae
Source: RNAcentral